UGGGGAAUCUUGCGCAAUGGGCGAAAGCCUGACGCAGCGACGCCGCGUGUGGGAUGACGGCCUUCGGGUUGUAAACCACUGUCGGGAGGGACGAAAAAAAUGACGGUACCUCCAAAGUAAGCACCGGCUAACUCUGUG
RNAcentral lists this ribosomal RNA (138 nucleotides) under uncultured bacterium. RNAcentral's name for it is "partial 16S ribosomal RNA". It matches the Rfam family "Bacterial small subunit ribosomal RNA", at positions 355 to 507 of the family's 1533-position model. The record is from RNAcentral.